Long non-coding RNA from Cyprinus carpio carpio, 1803 nucleotides. NCBI's taxonomy places the organism in Eukaryota, Metazoa, Chordata, Actinopteri, Cypriniformes, Cyprinidae. The record is from Ensembl.
CUUGGUUUCAGUUUACAGGAAAAAGUUGUAAAUAUCCAUAAAAUAGUAACAUCAUAAAAUCAAUAAAAGCUGGACACACCCCAGAACAAAUACCACCUUCAUCCUGAUCCAGGGAUUGGCUGUUCGCCCUGAGUUUUCACUAAUCCACACCUGUGUACAACCAUGAGAACAUGACAUAAUUACAGCUCAUAGAACCUUAUAUAAGAGCAGAGGAGGGACACAGCCACAUUGUGUGCACCUGUUGGCUUGGUCGCAGUUUGAAGCAAAUUUCAAUCUCUUUGGUAUCAUUUCUGAUUACAGUUUUCUCUCCAUCAUGAAGUGGAUGAUCAUAAGAUUCUGCAUGUUGGCACUGCUGGUCUUCCAGGCUCAGACUAACGUGACAACGACUGUGACAACUGACUUGGCAACAACUGAUAAUACUUCAGUUGCAAGUACAAAUACAACAACUGUAAAGACUUCAACUACAACUACAGCUCAAGUCACUGUUCCAACAGUUGAAAUUACUUUACCCAUAACAACGAGCACAAAUACUUCAAAUACAACUCAAGCCACUGGGACGACUUUGCAGGAACGUGUGACAACUCCAUCAGAUCAGCCAACCACAACGCCUCCAUCUUCAGAGCCCAGCAUGAAUCAAACAACAAAAUUUUCAAGCAGCAUGACCGAUAUGACCACAAUGAUGAAUUCCUCAAUGCCAGUGAAUGCCACCAUGACAACAGUUGGACAGACUACAAUUUGGACAACUACGUCGUCCAGCAACUCACUGACAGUUACCGUCAUCAGCUAUAUUCUAUCCGUCCUGCUGUACAUGAUGUUGAAUUGAGCAUUAUUUGAUUCAGCCCUAGAUUAAAGCUAAGCUGGACUGUUUUGCAAAGUACUGUAUAAUAGAAUAUAAGUAGUAUAUAAAAGUAAAGUAUAGACUAUAUAAAUAACUGAUGAGUAUAUAAAUGACUAUUACAUUUACAGUAGCAUAAGCCAAAACUGACCAACAGAUAAUAGUUUUAUUGAUUGAAUGUUUGUUAUGAUUGCACCAACCUGCUUGAUGCAUCACAAAUGAGGACUGAAAAGCACAUAUGAUUUCAAAUGAAAAAUGCAUAGUUUAAAAUAAUGUCUGAAAUAAAGGGGGAAAAAAUGUUGAUUGCAUGUGUCUCUUUCAUAGCAAAGACUAGUGUAGAUUUUCAUUUUAAUGUGACAGAAAUGUAUUUACUUUAGUAAGUGAGCCUUUUCUGGACUAAAAUAGUUUAAGCAAAAUCAAUAAUUUAUUUUUACUCAGUUUAUGAUCUCAUGACAUACUGGGAAAACAAAGCAACAACCUACAAGAUAAGAAUGACAAAUGACACAGUUGACUUCAUGUUUCUGGGUCAAUAAAUUUAGUAGUCGGAUACUAAAGAGGAUUUUUUCCUAAAGUUUUCUAUUUUAAUAUACAUUAAAAUGUCAUUUAUUUCUGUGAUGCAAAGCUGAAUUUUCAUCAGCAUCAUUACUCCAGUCUUCAGCGUCAUAUGAUCCUUCAGAAAUAAUUCUAAUAUGUUGAUUUAUCAUCAAUAUUGGAAACAGUUGUGCUGCUUAAUAUAUUUUUUGGAACCUGUGAUACAUUUUUCUGGAUUAAUUGAUGAAUAAAAGUUCAAAGAACAGCAUUUAUUUAAAAUAGAAAUCUUUUCUAACAAUAAAAGUCUUAAUUAUCACUUUUGACUGACACCUAACUUUUUAUUCAUCACAAAAAAAAUAAAAAAUAAUAAGCAGCAAAACUGUUUCCAAUAUUGAUAUUAAAUAAGCAUAUCAGAAUGAUUUCUGAAGCAUCAUGUG